RNAcentral lists this ribosomal RNA (301 nucleotides) under uncultured bacterium. Its description in RNAcentral is "partial 16S ribosomal RNA". It matches the Rfam family "Bacterial small subunit ribosomal RNA", at positions 509 to 807 of the family's 1533-position model. The record is from RNAcentral.
CAGUCGCCGCGGGAACACGUAGGGUGCGAGCGUUAAUCGGAAUUACUGGGCGUAAAGCGCACGCAGGCGGUUUGUUAAGUCAGAUGUGAAUUCCCCGAGCUUAACUUGGGAACUGCAUUUGAAACUGGCAAGCUAGAGUCUUGUAGAGGGGGGUAGAAUUCCAGGUGUAGCGGUGAAAUGCGUAGAGAUCUGGAGGAAUACCGGUGGCGAAGGCGGCCCCCUGGACAAAGACUGACGCUCAUGCACGAAAGCGUGGGGAGCAAACAGGAUUAGAUACCCGUGUAGUCCCUGUCUCUUAUAC